Molecule: transfer RNA, 73 nt
Filed under: Alligator mississippiensis (American alligator)
Lineage: Eukaryota; Metazoa; Chordata; Crocodylia; Alligatoridae
Rfam family: tRNA
About the family: Transfer RNA (tRNA) molecules are approximately 80 nucleotides in length. Their secondary structure includes four short double-helical elements and three loops (D, anti-codon, and T loops).
Source: Rfam by way of RNAcentral
ACCUGGAUAAUUCAGUUGGUAGAGCAUCAGACUUUUAAUAUGAGGGUCCAGGGUUCAAGUCCCUGUUCAGGCA